AGGCCAAUGAGGCACAAAGUAAUAUACCAUGAUCAGGAAGGUGGUUUGCCCAGGGUGAUGCUUAGCCAUUGCACUCCAACUGUGCUGACUCUUGCAAAUAUCCCUAAUGUUGGAAUCUAGACUGCAUAAUUUCAUAUAAUGGGAACCUACUUUUGCACUGUCUCUUG
Ictalurus punctatus (channel catfish) is the source of this 167-nucleotide small nuclear RNA. Its record names the gene U1. It matches the Rfam family "U1 spliceosomal RNA". From Rfam's summary of the family: U1 is a small nuclear RNA (snRNA) component of the spliceosome (involved in pre-mRNA splicing). NCBI's taxonomy places the organism in Eukaryota, Metazoa, Chordata, Actinopteri, Siluriformes, Ictaluridae. The record is from Ensembl.